Molecule: ribosomal RNA, 497 nt
Filed under: uncultured bacterium
Lineage: Bacteria
Description: partial 16S ribosomal RNA
Rfam family: Bacterial small subunit ribosomal RNA
Source: RNAcentral
GAUGAACGCUGGCGGCGUGCUUAACACAUGCAAGUCGAGCGAAAGGACCAGUACUUGCCGGGGUAGUCGAUAGCGGCGGAGGGGAGUGAAACAUGUGGAAAAUGCACUGAACUUAGGGGGAUGACUGGGGGAAUGGGGAGCAUAUAGGGGAGGACAUUGGGAUGGAUGUGGUUGUGGAGUGAAAUACGGUUUGGCUGUCACUUACGGACGGUCAGGCGCUGCAUUAGCUAGUUGGUAAGGUAACGGCUUACCAAGGCAACGAUGCAUAGCCGACCUGGGAGGGUGAUCGGCCACACUGGAACUGAGACACGGUCCAGACUCCUGCGGGAGGCCGCAGUAGGGAAUCUUGCGCAAUGGGCGAAAGCCUGACAAAGCAACGCCGCGUGAGUGAUGAAGGUCUUCGGAUCGUAGACCUCUGUUAUUAGGGAAGAACAUAUCUGUAAGUAACUGUGCACAUCUUGACGGUACCUAAUCAGAAAGCCCCGGCUAACUACGUG